Long non-coding RNA from Perognathus longimembris pacificus (Pacific pocket mouse), 432 nucleotides. RefSeq lists it as uncharacterized. NCBI's taxonomy places the organism in Eukaryota, Metazoa, Chordata, Mammalia, Rodentia, Heteromyidae. The transcript is spliced from 2 exons. The record is from RefSeq and is a predicted model, not a curated record.
UCUGUAUAUGUGGUAGUAAGGAAUCGAACCCAGGGCUUCAUGCGUGCUAGGCAAGCACUCUACCACUAGGCCACAUUCCCAGCCCUCGUCCCUGGACUUAAUUUUAAAGGGAGAAAUAGUUUUAUAUUUAAAGUUUUAAUUAAUUUUAUUCAUUAUUUGAUUAUGUAGUACUGAGGAAUUGAACCCAGGACCUCAAGUAUGGUAGGCAAGCCACAUCCCAGCCCAGAGAGAAAUACUUUCAUGGCAGUUAGAACUGAUCAGGAAGUUUAUAAGUACCUUUGAUGACUUCAUUACAACCUGUUUACAAAGAAGUCUUUAGAAGCAUAGCAGAGAUUCUGUUUAUCAGUUUGAAACAAUCUCUAGCAGCUAUUUGGUUAAACCUCAUAUUUUUAGAGCUAAAAUGAAAGUUUUUAUAGCUUUAAAAUAGGGAUG